UGGUACGAAAACUAAAAAUAGCUCGAGA
RNAcentral lists this small RNA (28 nucleotides) under Bombyx mori (domestic silkworm). Its description in RNAcentral is "ovarian small RNA-35086". Lineage: Eukaryota; Metazoa; Arthropoda; Insecta; Lepidoptera; Bombycidae. The record is from RNAcentral.